AACGAACGCUGGCGGCAGGCUUAACACAUGCAAGUCGAGCGCCCCGCCCGGGGAGCGGCAGACGGGUGAGUAGCGCGUGGGAACGUACCCUUAUCUUCGGGCUAGCCCCGGGAAACUGGAAUUAAUACCGAAUGUGCCCUUUGGGGGAAAGGUUUAUCGUAUAAGGAUCGGCGCGCGUGGGAUUUGCUAGUUGGUGGGGUAAACGCCUGCCAAGGCGACGAUCCAUAGCUGGGCUGGGUGGCUGAGAAACCACAUUGGGACUGAGACACGGCCCAAACUGGGACGCAGGGCAGGAGUAGGGAACAUUGGGCGAUGGGCGCAAGUCUGGUCCAGCCAUGCCGCGGAAGUGAUGAAGGGCUUAGGGUUGUAAAGCUCUUUCACCGGAGAAGAUAAUGACGGUAACCGGAGAAGAAGCCCCGGCUAACUUCGUG
This 431-nucleotide ribosomal RNA is filed under the name uncultured bacterium. RNAcentral's name for it is "partial 16S ribosomal RNA". It matches the Rfam family "Bacterial small subunit ribosomal RNA", at positions 29 to 507 of the family's 1533-position model. The record is from RNAcentral.